Molecule: non-coding RNA, 1166 nt
Organism: Physcomitrium patens
Lineage: Eukaryota; Viridiplantae; Streptophyta; Bryopsida; Funariales; Funariaceae
Source: RefSeq, a predicted model, not a curated record
GUGCACACCUGCUUUAAAAUGUUGCACUGGAAAUGCUUGGUGGUUCAAGAGGUUAAUCUGCAUAACAACCCAACUGACAAAUCCACAGAUAUCAACAAUCCUACAAUCGGUUGUCUUCAGCGGAGGGUGCGUAAGAAUUCCGCAAGGAUUUCAAAACCUUUGCAGGUUUCUGGAUGAGCUGCCCCCAAUCACAAGUUUGGAUCCAUCCUGCAACAUUCAUCAAAGCCUGCAGCGCCUUGUUCUCACGAGUAACAUGAGUUUCGCAACGACGGGUCGACGCUCAUAGUCCCGAACUUCAUUGCUCUUCAACACGAUGCACUUGAGCAAUCAGCCAUGUCAUCCCGGAACAUUUCUGCCAGCCGACGCCUGCCGGAUCCUAAGACUGCCAGCUCCACACAGCAAAUCGACGAUCCCCUCGGGGUUGAGCAUUUGGGAUCGGCAGCCGAGGAGCUCCCCGUAUUGUCUCUGGAGCUCGAGAAUCUCUCGGGAGCGUCGCGAGUUUUCUUCAAGCAGUUUCAAGCUUGCGUUGAUGACUUUUUGCAUGAUGUGCCGGAGGUGUCGGCCAUCGGUGUCGUCAACUUUGGCAAGUUCCUGGCUAUGGUGUAGAAGUACGCUCUCGAGAAUUUCGGGUUGGCUCAAGAACACAGGAUUGUUGAGGGCUCUCUCGUUUACGGAUGGGCUAAGCUUGAAGUGAUCAAUGAGGCUCCACAGCUGCUGUUGCUCUUCGGCAGAACAGUUCGGUGCGGUGGAAAUCAGUUUCUCAAUGGCGCCAUAGAUAGUGUCGUGGCAGUCUCGUGCAGACGGUGGAAAGGCCUUGACGAGGCUGAUAAAUGCAUCGACGGAGAUGGAGCACUCGUUUGCGUAGAACCACAAGAAACGGUCUACGUCGCCAGCGAUCUCUUCCAGCGAUUGCUCUGUGUACUCGCCCAUGCUGAUAUAGUACUCCACCAAGGACAUUAGAGUGUCGGGCCCGAACUUGUAGUCUCGAAGGCAGGCUUCAGAGGUAUUUCAACUGCCUCCACUCUUGUGAGACAUCUUCAUCGAAACAUACCCUCUGAAGGUCUACAACUAUGGCUCAGAAACAGUUGGGGGUUGAUCUCCCAGCUCGAGAGACGUGAACCUAAUUCAAAGGAAAGGAGAGGAGGAUAUCAGGUGGUGCCAUACCU